RNAcentral lists this ribosomal RNA (575 nucleotides) under uncultured bacterium. Its description in RNAcentral is "bacterial SSU rRNA". It matches the Rfam family "Bacterial small subunit ribosomal RNA", at positions 28 to 605 of the family's 1533-position model. The record is from RNAcentral.
AAUGAACGUUGGCGGCGUGGAUUAGGCAUGCAAGUCGUGCGGUACUCCUCCGCGGGGGGGGCGAGAGCGGCGAAAGGGAGAGUAACGCGUGGGUAACCUACCCCCGGGACCGGGAUAGCCGCGGGAAACUGCGGGUAAUACCGGAUAACGUCUCCGGACCAAAAGGUGUGAUUCCGCCUGGGGAGGGGCCCGCGUCCUAUUAGCUAGUUGGUGAGGUAAUGGCUCACCAAGGCAAAGAUGGGUACGGGGUGUGAGAGCAUGCCCCCGCUCACUGGGACUGAAACACUGCCCAAACACCUACGGGUGGCUGCAGUCGAGGAUCUUCGGCAAUGGGCGAAAGCCUGACCGAGCGACGCCGCGUGCGGGAUGAAGGCCUUCGGGUUGUAAACCGCUGUCAGAGGGGAGGAAAUGUCGGGGUGUAAUAAAUAAUCGCCCUGGCUUGACCUAUCCUCAGAGGAAGGACGGGCUAUGUUCGUGCCAGCAGCCGCGGUAAGACGAACCGUCCAAACGUUAUUCGGAAUCACUGGGCUUAAAGGGUGCGUACGCGGCUCGGCAAGUUGGGUGUGAAAGCCCUC